Molecule: ribosomal RNA, 789 nt
Filed under: Triticum aestivum (bread wheat)
Lineage: Eukaryota; Viridiplantae; Streptophyta; Magnoliopsida; Poales; Poaceae
Description: partial small subunit ribosomal RNA
Source: RNAcentral
AUGAGCGCCGCGACGGUGGAUCCCCAUCGCACUGUAGGACGGCGGCGCAGACAACCACUACAUCGGCCGGGAGCAGGAGGCCGCCCCGUGCACGCCGCUUCCCAUGCCUUGCCGGGGGUCGUGGUCGGCUGGAUCCGGCCGCCCCCUCGACUGGAUCAGCGAUCAGGUUUGCAGGGGCGGCAUGAUCUGCGUGGUGGCUGGGUCCGCUGCACGGCGAAGGGCGGGCUAGCACGCGAGGGACGGCAAGGUGCGCGUGGUUUCCGGUGGUCAGGGGCGGGUAGGGUGUCACGCGGCGAUAGGCGGGGCCCGAGGCGACUCCCGGCGGUGGAAGAGGGCCAGGACGGCGCGCCACGGAUGUACCAUAUAACUGGAAUUAACCGAUACAAGUCCAAGAAGGAUUGGCCGGUGCUACCGGUUGGCAUCAAGUUCGAUCCCACGGAUCAGGAGCUGGUCGAGCACCUUGAGGCCAAAGUGAGUGCCAACAGCGCGAGAUCUCACCCUCUCAUCGAUUUGUUCAUACCAACCAUCGACAGCGAGCAUGGCAUAUGCUACACCCAUCCUGAGAAACUUCCAGGUAUCACAAUAAGUGGCCUAAGCAAGCAUUUCUUCCAGCGCAACUCCAGGGCGUUCAAAAGGGGCACGUGGAUGCGUCGCAAGAUACAGUCGGAGUGCAGCAUGCACGCGAUGUGGCACAAGACCGGCAAUACCUUGCCGAUGAUGGUCAACGGCCGGCAAACGGGCAGCAAAAAGGUGCUGGUGCUGCACACCAACAAGAACUUCGACCAGUAG